GGGCGGAGCGGGGCGAAGCCUGAUCCAGCAAUGCCGCGUGCAUGAUGAAGGCCUUAGGGUUGUAAAACAGCUUCAUACAGAACGAAGGAGCUCCUUCUAAUACAGGGGGCCCAUGACGGUACCGUAAGAAUAAGCACCGGCUAACUACGUGCCACAGCCGCGGUAA
This 166-nucleotide ribosomal RNA is filed under the name uncultured bacterium. RNAcentral's name for it is "partial 16S ribosomal RNA". It matches the Rfam family "Bacterial small subunit ribosomal RNA", at positions 366 to 523 of the family's 1533-position model. The record is from RNAcentral.